GGGGGAUAUUGCACAAUGGGGGAAACCCUGAUGCAGCGACGCCGCGUGGAGGAAGAAGGUUUUCGGAUUGUAAACUCCUGUCGUUAGGGACGAUAAUGACGGUACCUAACAAGAAAGCACCGGCUAACUACGUGCCAGCAGCCGCGGUAAAACGUAGGGUGCAAGCGUUGUCCGGAAUUACUGGGUGUAAAGGGAGCGCAGGCGGACCGGCAAGUUGGAAGUGAAAACUAUGGGCUCAACCCAUAAAUUGCUUUCAAAACUGCUGGCCUUGAGUAGUGCAGAGGUAGGUGGAAUUCCCGGUGUAGCGGUGGAAUGCGUAGAUAUCGGGAGGAACACCAGUGGCGAAGGCGACCUACUGGGCACCAACUGACGCUGAGGCUCGAAAGCAUGGGUAGCAAACAGGAUUAGAUACCCUGGUAGUCCAUGCCGUAAACGAUGAUUACUAGGUGUUGGAGGAUUGACCCCUUCAGUGCCGCAGUUAACACAAUAAGUAAUCCACCUGGGGAGUACGACCGCAAGGUUGAAACUCAAAGGAAUUGACGGGGGCCCGCACAAGCAGUGGAUUAUGUGGUUUAAUUCGACGCAACGCGAAGAACCUUACCGGGAUUUGACAUCCUACUAACGAAGCAGAGAUGCAUUAGGUGCCCUUCGGGGAAAGUAGAGACAGGUGGUGCAUGGUUGUCGUCAGCUCGUGUCGUGAGAUGUUGGGUUAAGUCCCGCAACGAGCGCAACCCUUAUUGUUAGUUGCUACGCAAGAGCACUCUAGCGAGACUGCCGUUGACAAAACGGAGGAAGGCGGGGACGACGUCAAAUCAUCAUGCCCCUUAUGUCCCGGGCUACACACGUAAUACAAUGGCGGUCAACAGAGGGAAGCAAAACCGCGAGGCAGAGCAAACCCCUAAAAGCCGUCUCAGUUCGGAUUGCAGGCUGCAACUCGCCUGCAUGAAGUUGGAAUUGCUAGUAAUCGUGGAUCAGCAUGCCACGGUGAAUACGUUCCCG
This 999-nucleotide ribosomal RNA is filed under the name uncultured bacterium. Its description in RNAcentral is "bacterial SSU rRNA". It matches the Rfam family "Bacterial small subunit ribosomal RNA", at positions 356 to 1376 of the family's 1533-position model. The record is from RNAcentral.